GUGGUAGAAUCUGUCAGAGGUGUCCGGAAGUUGAAGUUUCAUACUAAUCCGAAGGAUGAAGUUUCGUACUGAUCCGAAGGUUGAAGUUUCGGACUAAAACACGGAGGGGCAAUAUUGGUUUUUCCCCACUUUUAAAUGGGGUGGGAAAUCCAAAACAGGGGGUGGGAAAUCUAAUUCCCCCAAUAAACCCCUUCUCCCAAACCCUCAUCGGUCUCUCCCGUACACCACCACAACCGCCACCAACAACACUGCAACUGAAGGAGGUUUUCGGCUGCGAAUCCAACACUACGACCGAAACGUGAAGGUUUCUGCCGCUCCUGCUCCUGUUCAACCGUGAAGGUUCGAGAGGCUCAAGAGCGCAUAACCCUUCAGUUUUGUGAUAAAAUGCCUAACCCAAUGGGAGCAUCAUCUGUUGCCUGUGGAAAGAUCUCUUCAAUGCCUAUUGUUUUCUUCACUAUUAUUGGUGGAAAGGUUUUUGAUCUUGCUCCGUAGGAGUACAUACUGAAGGUGGGUGAAGGUUCUGCAGCCCAAUGCAUUAGUGGCUUUACUUCUUUGGAUGUUCCUCCUCCACGUGGCCUACUCUGAUGCGUUUACAUUAUCAAUUCAUUAUGCACUCUCAUAGCCUUUCUCAUGUAGAAGCAUAAAAUACCUCACAAUAUUUCAGGCUGGAUGGCUGUUGCAUUGAUUGUUGCUCUAUUCUUGGACAACACUCUAAACUACAAGGAUAGUGCCAAAGACAGGGGAAUGUCAUGGCAAGUUAUAAACAGCCUUUCUCCGUCAUUAGGUUACUGACGGUAAGUUACCGACGUCCUUUUCCGUCGGUAAGUUACCAUGGUAACUAUUACCAAACGCAGGUUAUACCGAUAGAUUUGUGGCUAUCAGUAAUCCGUCCGAAAUCUACCAUUACUGACAGUGGGCGUAAAAAAUUCUCUUCAAAAUCCAAAAGACCAGACCAAAUAUUAAGGGCACAUGUCCUAGUCUUCAGAAAUAGUAUCAGUGUGAAUAUAUAUUUUCUUUCAUCAUAAUUCCUUCUAUGUUUAUCAUCAUCUCUUUGACUUCUCAUUAUUAGGUGGUUUUAUCUCUCUACUCAGUAUAUACAUUAUUAUCAUAACUUCAUUCACAUUCACAUUUACGACCUCACCACAAAGUCUUUAAUAAAUCCAGUUCCAAUGUUAUAUAUAUCACUCUCUGUUCAGUUCAUCAUUCAAAUAUCAGAUGAAGUGAGACCUAGUUGCCUGAGAUGGUGAAGCAUAUCUUCAGGAUGAUCGUCAAGUUUUGGUCGUUCAGGCUGCACCCAGCGUCCAUCAUUGCCUCUGAUCAUGCCCUUAUUCUCAUCUUGCCUCCAGUGUGGUGGAACCAAGUAAUGGUCUUUUAAGCAAUCACAGGCCUUGUUCACCAAAGCAGGGUCUCUACCAGUUGAUAGGAUGAACCUCUGCCCCUUUCCGUGGUAUCUGCGUAUAAAUGCAGCCAAGCCAAAAGUUAAUUAACCCCACUUGCAUGAGUGAUUUCAGCAAACGUUAAGUUAAAAUCAUCAUGAUUAGACACUAUCAUCAGCAGAAAUUAAUUAAGCUUGGUUUAAUUGUUAAUCUACUACAUAUCACUUUCUAAUGUUAUACUAUAAUGUGAGUGUCACUA
Long non-coding RNA from Lotus japonicus, 1635 nucleotides. RefSeq lists it as uncharacterized. The transcript is spliced from 5 exons. Lineage: Eukaryota; Viridiplantae; Streptophyta; Magnoliopsida; Fabales; Fabaceae. The record is from RefSeq and is a predicted model, not a curated record.